GACGGAGGAUGCAAGCGUUAUCCGGAAUGAUUGGGCGUAAAGCGUCCGCAGGUGGCAGUUCAAGUCUGCUGUCAAAGACCGGGGCUUAACUUCGGAAAGGCAGUGGAAACUGAACAGCUAGAGUAUGGUAGGGGCAGAGGGAAUUCCUGGUGUAGCGGUGAAAUGCGUAGAGAUCAGGAGGAACACCGGUGGCGAAAGCGCGAUACUGGGCCGUAACUGACGCUGAGGAACGAAAGCCAGGGGAGCGAAAGGG
Molecule: ribosomal RNA, 253 nt
Filed under: uncultured bacterium
Lineage: Bacteria
Description: partial 16S ribosomal RNA
Rfam family: Bacterial small subunit ribosomal RNA
Source: RNAcentral